Molecule: unclassified non-coding RNA, 332 nt
Filed under: soil metagenome
Description: partial contains 5.8S ribosomal RNA, internal transcribed spacer 2, and large subunit ribosomal RNA
Rfam family: 5.8S ribosomal RNA (bases 1-120)
Source: RNAcentral
GAUGAAGAACGCAGCAAAAUGCGAUAAGUAAUGUGAAUUGCAGAAUUCAGUGAAUCAUCGAAUCUUUGAACGCACAUUGCGCCCGCCAGUAUUCUGGCGGGCAUGCCUGUUCGAGCGUCAUUUCAACCCUCAAGCACAGCUUGGUGUUGGGACUCGCGUUAAUUCGCGUUCCCCAAAUUGAUCGGCGGUCACGUCGAGCUUCCAUAGCGUAGUAGUAAAACCCUCGUUACUGGUAAUCGUCGCGGCCACGCCGUUAAACCCCAACUUCUGAAUGUUGACCUCGGAUCAGGUAGGAAUACCCGCUGAACUUAAGCAUAUCAAUAAGCGGAGGA